UCAUUUUACAAUCGACAAAUAUUAUAGUAUUGCAAAAUGUUAAAACCAUUUAUUGAACAAACAUUGGUAUAAAAACCUCGCCACGCGCAUGCGCACGAAUUAUCAUCUAGUAUUCUCUUAUAUCUAAAGCUCUGUUUCGGUAAUAUGAACUGUAGUGUUGUAUAAUAGGUGGUAGAUUUGGAAGUUCUUUGACUUUACCAAUAAUGCAAAUAUAAUAUAGUUACAACAAUAUCAUUAUGUGAAACAACACUUGAUUGAAAACUAACAAAAAGGACAUAGUUAAUUGGCAACAGAAUAAUAGUUAUGCCUCUCUCCCAAACCAUUUGAUACAACAAGCUACAAGAGCCAAGAUGCUGAAGACCGCCACAAAGAAAAAGACGAUGACUAAGGAAACUGUAUCCAUUUUCCUCUUUUUCUUUGUUCACCAAACUUUUCAGUAUUUUUAAGUUUUCUUCUCUUCUUCUUUU
RNAcentral lists this long non-coding RNA (467 nucleotides) under Brassica napus (rape). RNAcentral's name for it is "long non-coding RNA (BNAP_LNC014491)". The record is from RNAcentral. Lineage: Eukaryota; Viridiplantae; Streptophyta; Magnoliopsida; Brassicales; Brassicaceae.